GGGUCAGUAGGUUGGUCGUGCCACCGGUACGUACUGGUCUCACUGAUUCCUCCUUCCUGAAGAACCGUAAUGCCACUAAUUUGGUGUUGCGGGGAAACAGGACUGUUACUUUGAAAAAAUUAGAGUGUUUAAAGCAAGCCAACGCUUGAAUACAUUAGCAUGGAAUAAUGAAAUAGGACGAUCGAUCCUAUUUUGUUGGUUUCUAGGAUUGACGUA
RNAcentral lists this ribosomal RNA (216 nucleotides) under Glomeromycotina sp. RNAcentral's name for it is "partial small subunit ribosomal RNA". The stretch from base 87 to 216 matches the Rfam family "Eukaryotic small subunit ribosomal RNA", at positions 733 to 864 of the family's 1831-position model. Lineage: Eukaryota; Fungi; Glomeromycota. The record is from RNAcentral.